CCCGCUUUAAACCGCCGCUCCCGGCUGUGUAAGCUCUAUAGUAGAGUCAGCGAUUUAUUCCUUACCCUAAAACGUGAUAGGUUUAAAGAACUUUGAAGUCCGAGGAUGGGAAUUGGUGAUCGUUGCAAGUAACUCUCGCUCACAUUUGACUGUCAACUCUCAAAUUAUGACUCUCGUGCUGUCGUGCAUUCUCAUCAACUUUCACAUUUGACUUUAAGCUGGUUCAAAUUUUGAUGACAGCCAACUCUCAUCCAAACUCUCGCUUCUCAACUCUCGCCAAUUCUUACUCUCCUUUGACCAGAGCUCCAGAGUUUAAGAAGAAAGAUUGAAUCAAAACAUGAUUUGCACUUUAUAAUUACCUUGUUUCUACAUGUAAUUUCGUAGUCAUGCACAGUUCCUCUAUUUUUGAGCUAAACAAGCAACCGCUUUAGGUGCAAAGCAUCUUUAUUCAUCUCAUCAAUUCAGUGAAUUCACCAUUUAAUUAAUAAAAGACAAUCAUUCAGCAAAAUUUCAUGUCAACAAAUCCGCCAUGUU
Molecule: non-coding RNA, 534 nt
Organism: Paramuricea clavata
Lineage: Eukaryota; Metazoa; Cnidaria; Anthozoa; Malacalcyonacea; Plexauridae
Source: the annotation of a GenBank genome assembly